Oncorhynchus keta (chum salmon) is the source of this 693-nucleotide long non-coding RNA. RefSeq lists it as uncharacterized. Lineage: Eukaryota; Metazoa; Chordata; Actinopteri; Salmoniformes; Salmonidae. The record is from RefSeq and is a predicted model, not a curated record. The transcript has 3 exons.
AGGUAACACAGUCUCUAGUAGUUCUUAUUCCUAGACCACAGGUAACACAGUCUCUAGUAGUUCUUAUUCCUAGACCACAGAUAACACAGUCUCUAGUAGUUCUUAUUCCUAGACCACAGAUAACACAGUCUCUAGUAGUUCUUAUUCCUAGACCACAGAUAACACAGUCUCUAGUAGUUCUUAUUCCUAGACCACAGGUAACACAGUCUCUAGUAGUUCUUAUUCCUAGACCACAGGUAACACAGUCUCUAGUAGUUCUUAUUCCUAGACCACAGGUAACACAGUCUCUAGUAGUUCUUAUUCCUAGACCACAGGUAACACAGUCUCUAGUAGUUCUUAUUCCUAGACCACAGGUAACACAGUCUCUAGUAGUUCGUAUUCACAGGUAAUUCAUGAUGUAUAAGUAGAUGGUUUCACCAUCAAAGUGAACCAGUCAUUGUCCUCAGUUGACCUGACAUACACCACACACACACACACACACACACACACACACACACACACACACACACACACACACACACACACACACACACACACACACACACACACACACACACACACACACACACACAGUCUUGUAUACUUAAGCUUGUGGGGAAACACAAUUCAGUCCCAUUCAAAAUGCUAUUUUCCCUAACCCCAUACUCUUACCUUAACCCAAAAUCCUAACCUUAAUACUAACCCUAGCUCCUA